RNAcentral lists this ribosomal RNA (305 nucleotides) under uncultured bacterium. Its description in RNAcentral is "bacterial SSU rRNA". It matches the Rfam family "Bacterial small subunit ribosomal RNA", at positions 334 to 654 of the family's 1533-position model. The record is from RNAcentral.
CGUACCUACGGGGGGCAGCAGUGGGGAAUAUUGGGCAAUGGACGCAAGUCUGACCCAGCAACGCCGCGUGAAGGAAGAAGGCUUUCGGGUUGUAAACUUCUUUUAAGGGGGAAGAGCAGAAGACGGUACCCCUUGAAUAAGCCACGGCUAACUACGUGCCAGCAGCCGCGGUAAUACGUAGGUGGCAAGCGUUGUCCGGAUUUACUGGGUGUAAAGGGCGUGCAGCCGGAGAGACAAGUCAGAUGUGAAAUCCGGGGGCUCAACCCCCGAACUGCAUUUGAAACUGUUGGUCUUGAGUAUCAGAG